UUUAAGAGGAAGUCCUGAGGAGUUUCGUCGAGGGCCGGGCAUUAAUUGGAAUAUGUUUGCAGGGUCAAGAGUAGCUCGGGAGGUCGGCUAGAGCCUGGUAUAAAUUUAUGUAAUAGAAUAGUAGUGGACAUGUACUAUAUAAUAGAUUAUAUUUGUGUUUUGCCCUAAUUUAUGUUUUUUUAAAUCCCUGUGAAUGUGAUUACUAUGUAAAAAGUUUUAUGUAUAUGUUAUGUUGAACCAAGUUGAGACAUGUAUGUUGACCA
Molecule: long non-coding RNA, 263 nt
Organism: Manihot esculenta (cassava)
Lineage: Eukaryota; Viridiplantae; Streptophyta; Magnoliopsida; Malpighiales; Euphorbiaceae
Exons: 2
Source: RefSeq, a predicted model, not a curated record